UACGUAGGGGGCAAGCGUUGUCCGGAAUCAUUGGGCGUAAAGCGCGCGUAGGCGGCCCGGUAAGUCCGCUCUGAAAGUCCAGGGCUUAACCCUGGAAAGCGGGUGGAUACUGCCGGGCUUGAAUCCGGAAGAGGCGAGUGGAAUUCCUGGUGUAGCGGUGGAAUGCGCAGAUAUCAGGAGGAACACCGGUGGCGAAGGCGGGUCUCUGGGCAGUAACUGACGCUGAGGAGCGAAAGCGUGGGGAGCGAACAGG
RNAcentral lists this ribosomal RNA (253 nucleotides) under uncultured bacterium. RNAcentral describes it as "partial 16S ribosomal RNA". It matches the Rfam family "Bacterial small subunit ribosomal RNA", at positions 524 to 776 of the family's 1533-position model. The record is from RNAcentral.